GGGGGUGAACAGGGUUCGACGGGAGUGAUAGACGUAAUGACAGCAGGCCGGAGUUAGUCGAUGGCUCCGUAAAAAUCGACUGAACAAUAAACAACAAAAUAAGCAACAGCAUUAGUACUGGAGCGAUGGCUGCUUAAUGCGGCUUCGUUUUACUUCAGACACCUGUUAUGGGGAUAAAACGACAAAUGCAGGUUAGUUUUAAGCGGUUUGUGCCGUCAGCUUAAAAUGAAAUUAAAACGGCACUGGUUUUGUAACGCAAUCUUGUCCGGAGACAGCGUUAUAAACGAAAUAAACUUUCCGGACUAAGCCUGUAGCGGUCAUGCCGAAACAUUUUCGGACGCGGGUUCAAUUCCCGCCACCUCCACAC
This 367-nucleotide transfer-messenger RNA is filed under the name Endomicrobium sp. It matches the Rfam family "transfer-messenger RNA". Rfam says of the family: Bacterial tmRNA, also known as 10Sa RNA or SsrA, is named for its dual tRNA and mRNA-like properties. Lineage: Bacteria; Pseudomonadati; Elusimicrobiota; Endomicrobiia; Endomicrobiales; Endomicrobiaceae. The record is from RNAcentral.